GGCUGGUCCAAGUGGCAUUUACAACUGAUAGAUCACAACCAGUUACAGAGUUCUCUGUUCCUUCUCCACUUCCACUGCUCCACUUGACUAGCCUAAA
This is an unclassified non-coding RNA of Prolemur simus (greater bamboo lemur), 97 nucleotides long. It matches the Rfam family "Y RNA". Rfam says of the family: Y RNAs are components of the Ro ribonucleoprotein particle (Ro RNP), in association with Ro60 and La proteins. The record is from Ensembl. NCBI's taxonomy places the organism in Eukaryota, Metazoa, Chordata, Mammalia, Primates, Lemuridae.